This 483-nucleotide ribosomal RNA is filed under the name uncultured bacterium. RNAcentral describes it as "partial 16S ribosomal RNA". It matches the Rfam family "Bacterial small subunit ribosomal RNA", at positions 28 to 507 of the family's 1533-position model. The record is from RNAcentral.
GAUGAACGCUAGCGGCAGGCCUAAUACAUGCAAGCUGAACGGCCAGUUUGAUAGCAAUAUUGGACCUAGAGUGGCGCAAGGGUGCGUAACACGUAUGCAACCUGCCCCCGACAGGCGGAUAGCUCCCCGAAAGGGGAAUUAACCCUCUAUAACACCAUGAGAAGGCCUCUGACCAUGGUUAAACCGCAAGGGGUCGCGGUUCGGCAUGCGGUUGAUUAGCUAGUUGGCGGGGUAACGGCCCACCUAGGCGGUGAUCAUCGGGGGUUCUGCGAGCAAGGUCCCCCGCACUGGCACUGGGAUCCCGGCCUGACUCCAACGGGAGGCAGCAGUAGGGAUUAUUGGGCCAUGGUUGCAAGACUGAUCCAGCCAUUCCGCGUGCAGGAACAACGCCUUCUGAGGCGUAAACUGCUUUGUCCUGUGGAUAAAAGACCCGUGCGCGGGGAAUUGAAGGUAACAGGAGAAUAAGCCACGGCUAACUACGUG